GAUUAUAUGUCAUGUGUAGUAUUGAGUAUAAAAACUAGAACCACAACUGGAUCCCAAAAGCAAAAGUAGUGUUUCCUUGUUAGAAGAUACAAAGGCAAAGACUCAUACGGACUUCGGCUACACCAUGAAAAUUUUGAGAAGCAAUAAGAAGCUUGGUUAGUGUUUUGGAGUCAAAUAUGACUAGAUGUCAUGUGUAUGAUUGAGUAUAAGAACUAGAACCGCAACUAAUUCCCAAAAGCUAUAUUAAUGUU
RNAcentral lists this small RNA (251 nucleotides) under Arabidopsis thaliana (thale cress). RNAcentral's name for it is "ATSL197480". Lineage: Eukaryota; Viridiplantae; Streptophyta; Magnoliopsida; Brassicales; Brassicaceae. The record is from RNAcentral.